UUAAGUAAGGAAGGGCGUACGGCGAAUGCCUGGCCACUCGAAACUGAAGAAGGACGCGCCAAACUGCGAAAAGCUCCGUGAAGCUGUAAGGAAGCGAAGAAGCGGAGGUGUCCGAAUGGGGGAACCCGGCAGCAGACAUGAGCUGUCAUCUGCAGGUGAAUACAUGGCCUGCAAGAGAGGUACCCGGCGAACUGAAACAUCUAAGUAGCCGGAGGAAAAGAAAACAACAGUGAUUCCCUGAGUAGCGGCGAGCGAAAGGGGAGAAGCCCAAACCGGUCCAAGGACCGGGGUUGAAGGACCAUGAUAUGGCAAGAGAGAGGAUAGAAGAACGGGAUCGAAAGCCCGGCCGAAGAAGGUGCAAGCCCUGUAAUUGAAAUCCGAUUGAAGCCUAAUGGGAUCCUGAGUACGGCGAGACACGAGGAAUCUUGUCGGAAGCAGGCGGGACCAUCCGCCAAGGCUAAAUAUAAACGAGUGAGCGAUAGUGAACCAGUACCGUGAGGGAAAGGUGAAAAGAACCGCGGGAGCGGAGUGAAAGAGAACCUGAAACCGUAUGCCUACAAGAAGUCAGAGCCCGUUAAGGGGUGAUGGCGUGCCUUUUGUAGAAUGAACCGGCGAGUUGCGACAGACUGCGAGGUUAAGGAGGAAAGACCGGAGCCGAAGCGAAAGCGAGUCUUAAGAGGGCGAAAGUAGGAUGUUGCAGACCCGAAACCGGGUGAUCUAGCCAUGAGCAGGUUGAAGUUGAGGUGAAACUCAAUGGAGGACCGAACCGACUACCGUUGAAAAGUUAGCGGAUGACUUGUGGCUAGGGGAGAAAUUCCAAUCGAACCCGGAGAUAGCUGGUUCUCCCCGAAAUAGCUUUAGGGCUAGCGUCGGAAAGAACCUUAGUGAAGGUAGAGCACUGAAUGUGUGAUGGCCCCAUCCCGGGGUACUGAAUACAAUCAAACUGCGAAUGUCAUUAAGGAUGUCCGGCAGUCAGACUGUGAGUGAUAAGGUCCAUGGUCAAGAGGGAAACAGCCCAGACCGCCAGUUAAGGUCCCAAAAUACAGGCUAAGUGGAAAAGGAUGUGGGGAUGCCCAGACAACUAGGAGGUUGGCUCAGAAGCAGCCAUCCUUUAAAGAGUGCGUAACAGCUCACUAGUCGAGUGACCCUGCGCCGAAAAUGUACCGGGGCUAAGCCUGAUACCGAAACUGCGGAUUGUAGGAAACUAUAGUGGUAGGGGAGCGUUGUAUACGAGUAGAAGCCGUACCGUGAGGAGCGGUGGAUUGUAUAGAAGUGAGAAUGCCGGUGUGAGUAGCGAGAUGUAGGUGAGAAUCCUACACACCGAAAGCCCAAGGAUUCCAGGGGAAGGUUCGUCCGCCCUGGGUAAGUCGGGACCUAACGCGAGGCCGAAAGGCGUAGUGGAUGGAAAGCAGGCGAAAGAUUCCUGCACCCGUAUAUGGAGCGAAGGAGUGACGGAGACGGAUAGUGUGACCCUCUUAAUGGAUUGAGGGCGAAGCGAAGCGGCUGGUUACCAGGCAAAUCCGGUAACCUUAAGGCUAGAGCGUGACAGGCAAGCGAAAUCUAAGGAAAGUAGCGAAGCACAUGAUGACGGCUUCCAGGAAAAGCUUCUGGCAAUGCAUAUGCGGCCCGUACCAAAACCGACACAGGUGGGCAGGGAGAGAAUCCCGAGGUGAGCGAGAGAACUGUUGCCAAGGAACUCGGCAAAAUGACUCCGUAAGUUAGCGAGAAGGAGUGCUUAAGCAAUUAAGCCGCAGUGAAGAGGCCCAAGCGACUGUUUAACUAAAACACAGCUCUCUGCGAAGUCGCAAGACGAAGUAUAGGGGGUGACACCUGCCCGGUGCUGGAAGGUUAAGAGGAUCUGUUAAGAGCGAUCUGAAGCAGUGAUCCGAAGCCCCAGUGAACGGCGGCCGUAACUAUAACGGUCCUAAGGUAGCGAAAUUCCUUGUCAGGUAAGUUCUGACCC
This 1963-nucleotide ribosomal RNA is filed under the name human gut metagenome. Its description in RNAcentral is "bacterial LSU rRNA". It matches the Rfam family "Bacterial large subunit ribosomal RNA", at positions 3 to 1989 of the family's 2925-position model. The record is from RNAcentral.